This 223-nucleotide unclassified non-coding RNA is filed under the name Hevea brasiliensis (rubber tree). The record is from RNAcentral. Lineage: Eukaryota; Viridiplantae; Streptophyta; Magnoliopsida; Malpighiales; Euphorbiaceae.
GAAGAAGAAGAAGAAGAAGAAGAAGAAAUGUUUAGAUUUCAGGACGCAACAUCAGUAUUGAUAAGCGUGAUUCUAAGAAAAAGCAUAAGCAUAUUUCAUGAACUUGCCUUCAUAUUGCUAGACUUGCUAUCGAUUUUAUCGUCAGCUGUUGAAUAUUCAAGAUUUAACAAUCGCCACUCUCCUGCAGCUUUCACCAGAUUGAUAGAAGAGAUAUCUGAGGCUU